UCACCUCCAUCCUUAGUGAAGUCUGGGUGGCCGUCUCAGCAGACAAAGCUGCUGAGCUGCCUGCCGACAGGUGACCAACCAAGCGAUUGGAUACUCCCAAGUGUGUGAAGCUCUGUGGUUAGUUACCUUGUGGCUGUGUCACCAUUGGACAAAGUGGACAAGGUACCUCCCCAUCCACAAGACCUGUCAGGGUCUGGAUUCCCAGCACAGUCUAACCGACUAGCAAGCCAUCCAGAGGAUGACGUGGACC
This 250-nucleotide long non-coding RNA is filed under the name Castor canadensis (American beaver). RNAcentral describes it as "lncRNA (ENSCCNG00000029874.1)". Lineage: Eukaryota; Metazoa; Chordata; Mammalia; Rodentia; Castoridae. The record is from RNAcentral.